UAUCCACCCCUGAUCCACUCCCACCCCUGUCCUCUGCCCCCUAGAUCUCCUUGCCGCCGCCACCUCCGCCUCUCACCCCUCCUCCGCCUUUCUCUCCCCCAUUCGCGUCGCCUCUCCUUCUCCUCCCCCUCCACCUCCCCGUGUCUCGAGAAACCCUCCCAUGGCGGAGUCGCCCGAGAACUCCACUGCGGUGCCCGCUCCACCCGCCGCUCCUUCUCUAGCCCCUCCCGCCCAUCCGCCCGCCCCCCUAGGUUCCACCAUGGCGCCACUCGUCUUGGCUCAUGUCCUGCUAGCGCGGCCUGGCCGGCAUCGUCGGAGGGAACAAGGCUAAGGUCUCGGCCGAGGUCGCCCCGGAUCCGGAGGACGCCACCGAGCACGGGCGUCGGGGGGAGGCCGAUGAGGAGACGCGGCGGUAAGAUUGUCAAGCACGACCUCUAGUCCAAGGAGCUCCCCAACACCGCAUCGAGCCUGACUGCCGGUGGUUAGGAAAUACACGAGUUAUCAAUCAGAAAAAACUUGAAUAUUUUAGGCAAGAACUCCAGGCAAGGCUUACAAAUAACUACAGUAUGUUAAUGAAAUCUAAACAGCUGCCACUAUCGCUUCUACAGGAUCAUCAGAAGGUUCGCUCAUGUUGAUUAUACAGCAAGCUCGUGCACAUCUUCUUGACACUGAACCUUUUGAGCAUGCCGCCGCCGUCUCCGUCAUGCGCCCUCCACUCGAGUGCGGCAGAAUCACCUUCUCUUCCUCGCUCAAGCAGGAUAUGGAUGACUAUCUGGACGUAUGCAGGUUUCUUCCGAAACUUAACAAUGAGAUACUAGGUGAAAGAAAUGCUCCCUACAAGGAAAGGUUGGGCAGCCUAGAGAAUUUAGUACUGAUCAUGGGGUGAUCGUCGUGGACUACCGCAACCCGGUGGGCAUCGUGCUCUUCAACAACUCGGAGACGGACUUCACCGUGAAGGCCAGCGACUGUGUCACACCGAUGAUUGUCCCGGUGAUUGUGACACCGGAGGUCGCUGAGGUGGAGGACCUUGACGCCACCGUCCGGAGGUCGUCGAGGUGGAGGACCUCGAUGCCACCGUCUGGAGGUUGCCGAGGUGAAGGACCUCGACGCCUUGGUAGAUACAUUUAGAGAAGAGGUCUGCUUAGGUUGGUGGUGGGACGCUAGGGAAGGUACCUAUCUUUCGUGAUGGUUGUGUGCAUCUGAUAUAUAAAUGGAAUCUCAUGAUUUCUUUGAGUUGAGAUUUUCAAUGUUGUAUACAUGAACGCUGCAAGUGCUAAGAGUGUAAGUGCUAAGAUGGUUCUAUGACCUUUGCACUGGAUGUGUCUUGAUUACCAUCCAUAAA
Triticum dicoccoides is the source of this 1342-nucleotide RNA transcript. It is a transcript of the gene named nuclear/nucleolar GTPase 2-like, with no coding region annotated. The record is from RefSeq and is a predicted model, not a curated record. The transcript has 5 exons. Lineage: Eukaryota; Viridiplantae; Streptophyta; Magnoliopsida; Poales; Poaceae.